CAGAGUUGUCCUAACUCCCAAACCCAUGUGAACAUACCGACCGUUGCCUCGGCAGGUCAAGGCUCGCGUAGCGUGCCCGCACCCUGCCGGCGGCCCACGAAAUACUGUUUUUCUUCUUGAAUUCUGAACGUGAAAUAAAAAUAAGUUA
RNAcentral lists this unclassified non-coding RNA (148 nucleotides) under uncultured Sordariomycetes. Its description in RNAcentral is "sequence contains ITS1". The record is from RNAcentral. Lineage: Eukaryota; Fungi; Ascomycota; Sordariomycetes.